Molecule: ribosomal RNA, 254 nt
Filed under: uncultured bacterium
Lineage: Bacteria
Description: partial 16S ribosomal RNA
Rfam family: Bacterial small subunit ribosomal RNA
Source: RNAcentral
UACGUAGGGUGCGAGCGUUGUCCGGAAUUAUUGGGCGUAAAGAGCUCGUAGGCGGUGUGUCACGUCGGCCGUGAAAACCUGCAGCUUAACUGUGGGCGUGCGGUCGAUACGGGCAUCACUGGAGUUCGGCAGGGGAGACUGGAAUUCCUGGUGUAGCGGUGAAAUGCGCAGAUAUCAGGAGGAACACCGGUGGCGAAGGCGGGUCUCUGGGCCGAUACUGACGCUGAGGGGCGAAAGCGUGGGGAGCAAACGGG